This 468-nucleotide ribosomal RNA is filed under the name uncultured bacterium. RNAcentral's name for it is "partial 16S ribosomal RNA". It matches the Rfam family "Bacterial small subunit ribosomal RNA", at positions 28 to 507 of the family's 1533-position model. The record is from RNAcentral.
GACGAACGCUGGCGGCGUGCUUAACACAUGCAAGUCGAACGGAAAGGCCCUGCUUUUGUGGGGUGCUCGAGUGGCGAACGGGUGAGUAACACGUGAGUAACCUGCCCUUGACUUUGGGAUAACUUCAGGAAACUGGGGCUAAUACCGGAUAGGAGCUCCUGCUGCAUGGUGGGGGUUGGAAAGUUUCGGCGGUUGGGGAUGGACUCGCGGCUUAUCAGCUUGUUGGUGGGGUAGUGGCUUACCAAGGCUUUGACGGGUAGCCGGCCUGAGAGGGUGACCGGCCAAAUUGGGACUGAGAUAAGGACCAGAAUCAUACGGGAGGCAGAAGUGGGGAAUAUUGCACAAUGGGCGGAAGCCUGAUGCAGCAACGCAGCGUGCGGGAUGACGGCCUUCGGGUUGUAAACCGCUUUCGCCUGUGACGAAGCGUGAGUGACGGUAAUGGGUAAAGAAGCACCGGCUAACUACGUG